UGCCAGACUCCUACGGGAGGCAGCAGUGGGGAAUAUUGGACAAUGGGGGGAACCCUGAUCCAGCGACGCCGCGUGAGUGAAGAAGUAUUUCGGUAUGUAAAGCUCUAUCAGCAGGGAAGAAAAUGACGGUACCUGACUAAGAAGCCCCGGCUAACUCCGUGCCAGCAGCCGCGGUAAUACGGAGGAUGCGAGCGUUAUCCGGAUUUAUUGGGUUUAAAGGGUGCGUAGGCGGACAGUCAAGUCAGCGGUAAAAAUGCGGUGCUCAACGCCGUACAGCCGUUGAAACUGGCAGUCUUGAGUGGGCGAGAAGUAUGCGGAAUGCGUGGUGUAGCGGUGAAAUGCAUAGAUAUCACGCAGAACUCCGAUUGCGAAGGCAGCAUACCGGCGCCCUACUGACGCUGAGGCACGAAAGCGUGGGUAUCGAACAGGAUUAGAUACCCGGGUAGU
Molecule: ribosomal RNA, 447 nt
Filed under: uncultured bacterium
Lineage: Bacteria
Description: bacterial SSU rRNA
Rfam family: Bacterial small subunit ribosomal RNA
Source: RNAcentral